AUGGCUGCCGGCAGUUCUCAGAGCUACCGCGGAGCCAGGCAGGCGCGCACACAGGGCAGCCCCCCUGUUACCUCCCAUACAGUAGCCACGCUCACCUGGGGAGCCUCGCGUCAGACCACGCCACACCCGCUCCAAGUGUGCAAUGGCCCGCGUCAGACCAGCCACACCUGCUCCAAGUGUGCAAUGGCCCGCGUCAGACCACGCCACACCCGCUCCAGAUCUGCAAUGGCCCGCGUGGGACCACGCCACAUCCGCUCCAAGUCUGCAGUGGCCCGCGUUGGACCACGCCACACUGGCUCCAGGUCUGCAAUGGCCCGCGUCGGACCACGCCACACCCACCCCAAGUGUGCAAUGGCCCGCGUCAGACCACGCCACACCCGCUCCAAGUCUGCAAUGGCCCGCGUCAGGCCAUGCCACACCCGCUCCAGGUCUGCAAUGGCCCGCGUCAGGCCAUGGCACACCAGCUCCAAGUCCGCAAUGGCCCGUGUCAGACCACGCCACACCCGCUCCAAGUUUGCAAUGGCCCGCGUCAGGCCAUGCCACACCCGCUCCAGGUCUGCAAUGGCCCGCGUCGGACCACGCCACACUCGCUCCAGAUCUGCAAUGGCCCGCGUCGGACCACGCCACACUCGCUCCAGAUCUGCAAUGGCUCUGGCCUCCUUCCGGGCAAAGGCUGCCAUACUCACCGUGGCCUGCAAGGCCCUGCUCCGCCCGGCUCCUGACCCCUCACCUGCAGCCAGCGCCCACCCUGCUGGUGCCGCUCCCUCGCCCUUCCCUGAGCCUGCCAGGCCCCUCCCUCGUCUGUCAGUGUCUGCUAUUGCAAUUCCCUCUGCCUGGAAUGCCUUCCUCCCGCAUGUCAGUCCACCCUGCUGGCCCCUUCAUUCCCACAGACCCAACUCAGGCAUCCCCUCCGGAGGUGCUCCCUCAUCGUCUUCUUUACAAGUAAGCCUCUGCUCACACCCCAAGACUCUGCUUUACCUUUCUCCACAGCCCCUAUUGCCAUCCAACAAACUGUGUUUAACUUACUUAUUUUAUUCGUUGUCUCUCUGUACUAGAAUGUAA
Molecule: long non-coding RNA, 1062 nt
Filed under: Macaca fascicularis (crab-eating macaque)
Lineage: Eukaryota; Metazoa; Chordata; Mammalia; Primates; Cercopithecidae
Description: lncRNA (ENSMFAG00000058027.1)
Source: RNAcentral